Molecule: ribosomal RNA, 1371 nt
Filed under: uncultured bacterium
Lineage: Bacteria
Description: bacterial SSU rRNA
Rfam family: Bacterial small subunit ribosomal RNA
Source: RNAcentral
GAUGAACGCUGGCGGCGUGCCUAAUACAUGCAAGUCGAGCGAACGGACGAGAAGCUUGCUUCUCUGAUGUUAGCGGCGGACGGGUGAGUAACACGUGGAUAACCUACCUAUAAGACUGGGAUAACUUCGGGAAACCGGAGCUAAUACCGGAUAAUAUUUUGAACCGCAUGGUUCAAAAGUGAAAGACGGUCUUGCUGUCACUUAUAGAUGGAUCCGCGCUGCAUUAGCUAGUUGGUAAGGUAACGGUUUACCAAGGCAACGAUGCAUAGCCGACCUGAGAGGGUGAUCGGCCACACUGGAACUGAGACACGGUCCAGACUCCUACGGGAGGCAGCAGUAGGGAAUCUUCCGCAAUGGGCGAAAGCCUGACGGAGCAACGCCGCGUGAGUGAUGAAGGUCUUCGGAUCGUAAAACUCUGUUAUUAGGGAAGAACAUAUGUGUAAGUAACUGUGCACAUCUUGACGGUACCUAAUCAGAAAGCCACGGCUAACUACGUGCCAGCAGCCGCGGGUAUACGUAGGUGGGCAGCGUUAUCCGGAUUUUAUUGGGCGUAAGCGCGCGUAGGCGGUUUUUUAGUCUGAUGUGAAAGCCCACGGCUCAACCGUGGAGGGUCAUUGGAAACUGGAAAACUUGAGUGCAGAAGAGGAAAGUGGAAUUCCAUGUGUAGCGGUGAAAUGCGCAGAGAUAUGGAGGAACACCAGUGGCGAAGGCGACUUUCUGGUCUGUAACUGACGCUGAUGUGCGAAAGCGUGGGGAUCAAACAGGAUUAGAUACCCUGGUAGUCCACGCCGUAAACGAUGAGUGCUAAGUGUUAGGGGGUUUCCGCCCCUUAGUGCUGCAGCUAACGCAUUAAGCACUCCGCCUGGGGAGUACGACCGCAAGGUUGAAACUCAAAGGAAUUGACGGGGACCCGCACAAACGGUGGAGCAUGUGGUUUAAUUCGAAGCAACGCGAAGAACCUUACCAAAUCUUGACAUCCUUUGACAACUCUAGAGAUAGAGCCUUCCCCUUCGGGGGACAAAGUGACAGGUGGUGCAUGGUUGUCGUCAGCUCGUGUCGUGAGAUGUUGGGUUAAGUCCCGCAACGAGCGCAACCCUUAAGCUUAGUUGCCAUCAUUAAGUUGGGCACUCUAAGUUGACUGCCGGUGACAAACCGGAGGAAGGUGGGGAUGACGUCAAAUCAUCAUGCCCCUUAUGAUUUGGGCUACACACGUGCUACAAUGGACAAUACAAAGGGCAGCGAAACCGCGAGGUCAAGCAAAUCCCAUAAAGUUGUUCUCAGUUCGGAUUGUAGUCUGCAACUCGACUACAUGAAGCUGGAAUCGCUAGUAAUCGUAGAUCAGCAUGCUACGGUGAAUACGUUCCCGGGUCU